This 468-nucleotide ribosomal RNA is filed under the name uncultured bacterium. Its description in RNAcentral is "partial 16S ribosomal RNA". The stretch from base 53 to 468 matches the Rfam family "Bacterial small subunit ribosomal RNA", at positions 34 to 507 of the family's 1533-position model. The record is from RNAcentral.
GGGGGGCGGGGGGGGGGGGCUGGGGGGGUGCGAGUCGGGCGGGGAGGCGCUGCGUUGGGGGGGUGCUGGGGGGGCGAGCGGGGGCGUGGCACGGGAGUAACCUGCCCUUGACUUUGGGAUAACUUCAGGAAACUGGGGCUAAUACCGGAUCGGAGCUCCUGCUGCAUGGUGGGGGUUGGAAAGUUUCGGCGGUUGGGGAUGGACUCGCGGCUUAUCAGCUUGUUGGUGGGGUAGUGGCUUACCAAGGCUUUGACGGGUAGCCGGCCUGAGAGGGUGACCGGCCACAUUGGGACUGAGAUACGGCCCAGACUCCUACGGGAGGCAGAAGUGGGGAAUAUUGCACAAUGGGCGGAAGCCUGAUGCAGCAACGCCGCGUGCGGGAUGACGGCCUUCGGGUUGUAAACCGCUUUCGCCUGUGACGAAGCGUGAGUGACGGUAAUGGGUAAAGAAGCACCGGCUAACUACGUG